AACAAACGCUGGCGGCGUGCCUAAUACAUGCAAGUCGAACGAGGAAAGCUUUCGGGUGAGUACUAGUGGCGCACGGGUGAGGAAUAUAUGGGUAAUCUGCCCUCGAGUUGGGGAUAACCAGUCGAAAGACUGGCUAAUACCGAAUAAGACCACAGGAUCUGCGGAUCUAGGGGUUAAAGGUUUUUCGCUUGAGGAUGAGCCCAUACGGGAUUAGCUAGUUGGCGAGGUAAUGGCUCACCAAGGCUACGAUCCCUAACUGGUCUUAGAGGAUGAGCAGUCACACUGGAACUGAGACACCGCCCAGACUCCUACGGGAGGCAGCAGUAGGGAAUAUUGCACAAUGGGGGAAACCCUGAUGCAGCGACGCCGCGUGAGUGAUGAAGGCCUUCGGGUCGUAAAGCUCUGUCGUAUGGGACUAACACAAUGAAGGUACCAUGCAAGAAAGGAUCGGCUAACUUCGUGCCAGCCGCCGCCGUAA
Molecule: ribosomal RNA, 478 nt
Filed under: uncultured bacterium
Lineage: Bacteria
Description: partial 16S ribosomal RNA
Rfam family: Bacterial small subunit ribosomal RNA
Source: RNAcentral